This 573-nucleotide long non-coding RNA is filed under the name Rosa chinensis. RNAcentral describes it as "sRNA RchiOBHm_Chr6g0289021". The record is from RNAcentral. Lineage: Eukaryota; Viridiplantae; Streptophyta; Magnoliopsida; Rosales; Rosaceae.
CAGACUCUCUCUUCCUCUCUCGGCCACGCCUCUCUCUUCUCUCUCCCCGACCUCUCUCUCUCUCGUCCUCACUCUGCCAUCACCGGAAAACCCCAUCUCCGGCCACCACCUCACAAAAUCGCCACCACCUAUCGAUCCAGCAUCUAAAUCCGACCCAAGCCCGAGCCUUAUCGUUGACAUGCAUCUCCGGCAGCCUCCGCGCCCGACAACCCAAGGCUGCGACGCCAUGCCAUCUGCGUUCACCGGUCUCCGAAUCUUUUCCAUAGCCACUGCCUCCACCAACGGGCUCAAGGCAAGCCGUUUAUCAACACUCCAAAGCCUCGUCACUGACCCGACGCCGGAGAACUCUGUAUACGCCUUCGCCGGUGAUCUGGGCUUCUACAAAGCUAGGGUUACGACCUCCGGCCAUGAUUGAGCGAAGCCAUCACCUUGAAGAAGCUUAGGACUACACGAAUCGCCUUAACCCCUUAAUCCCGACUUCUGACCCUGACCAGAACCACCGCACGCGCUUCACGCGCCGUCGCUGGCGCGUGAGAUACUCCAGCACCGCCGUGAUCUUCACCGGCGUAGUCC